AUUAGGUUUUGGGGCUAGGGUAAGGUUUAAGGUUUUUGGCGUUAGGGUUAAAAUCACUGUCCAAAACCUUUUAAGGAACAUGUUUAUGACCUUUUGGAGUUGGUUACACCAAAAAAAAUGUAAAAUGAAAAAAAAAUAUUUGGGGUGUUCGGGCUUCCUGAAGGUAAUACCCGGGUAUUAGGUUAUGGGGCUAGGAUAAGGUUUAAGGUUUUUGGCGUAAGGGUUAAAAUCACUGUCCAAUAUUUUUUAAGGAACAUGUUUCAGACCUUUUGGAGUUAGUUAGACAAAAAAAAAAAGAUAAAUGAAAAAAUAUAUAUUCGGGGUCUUCGGGCUUCCUGAAGGUAAUACCUGGGCUAUAGGUUAUGGGGCUAGGGUAAGGUUUAAGGUUUUUGGCGUGAGGGUUAAAAUCACUGUCCAAAACCUUUGUAGGAAGUCUUUGCCAACCUUUUGGAGUUAGUUAGACAAAAAAAAAAAGAUAAAUGAAAAGAAAAUAUUUGGGGUUUUUUGGCUUCCGGAAGGUAAAACCGGGUAUUAGGUUAUGGGGCUUUGGAAAGGUUUAAGGUUUUUGGCGUGAGAGUUAAAAUCACUGUCCAAAACCUUUGUAGGAAGUCUUUUCCAACCUUUUGGAGUUAGUUAGACCAAUAAAAAAAUGAAAAAUGAAAAAAAAAAAUUUGGGGUGUUCGGGCUUCCUGAAGGUAAUAAUAGGUAAUAAUAGUAUUAGGUUUUGGGACUAGGAUUAGGUUUAAGGUUUUUGGCGUUAGGGUUAAAAUCACUGUCCAAUAUUUUUUAAGGAACAUGUUUCAGACCUUUUGGAGUUAGUUAGACCAAAAAAAAGAAAAAAGAAAAAAAAAUAUUUGGGGUUUUCGGGCUUCCUGAAGGUAAUACCCGGGUAUUAGGUUUUGGGGCUAGGUUAAGGUUUAAGGUUUUUGGCGUUAGGGUUAAAAUCACUGUCCAAAACCUUUUAAGGAACAUGUUUCAGACCUUUGGGAGUUGGUUACACCAAAAAAAAAUGAAAAAUGAAAAAAAAUAUAUUUGGGGUGUUCGGGCUUCCUGAAGGUAAUACCCGGGUAUUAGGUUAUGGGGCUAGGGUAAGGUUUAAGGUUUUUGGUGUGAGGGUUAAAAUCACUGUCCAAAACCUUUGUAGGAACAUGUUUCAGACCUUUUGGAGUUGGUUACACCAAAAAAAAUGUAAAAUGAAAAAAAAAAUAUUUGGGGUGUUCGGGCUUCCUGAAGGUAUUACCCGGGUAUUAGGUUUUGGGGCUAGGGUAAGGUUUAAGGUUUUUGGUGUUAGGGUUAAAAUCACUGUCCAAAACCUUUGUAGGAACUCUUUUCAGACCUUUUGGAGUUAGUUAGACCAAAAAAAAAUGAAAAAUGAAAAAAAAUAUAUUUGGGGUGUUCGGGCUUCCUGAAGGUAAUACCCGGGUAUUAGGUUAUGGGGCUAGGGUAAGGUUUAAGGUUUUUGGCGUUAGGGUUAAAAUCACUGUCCAAAACCUUUGUAGGAACUCUUUUCCAACCUUUUGGAGUUAGUUAGACCAAAAAAACGAAAAAUGAAAAAAAAAAUAUUUGGGGUUUUUGGGCUUCCUGAAGGUAAUACCCGGGUAUUAGGUUAUGGGGCUAGGGUAAGGUUUAAGGUUUUUGGCGUUAGGGUUAAAAUCACUGUCCAAAACCUUUUUAGGAACAUGUUUAAGACCUUUUGGAGUUGGUUACACCAAAAAAAAUGUAAAAAGAAAAAAUAUAUAUUUGGGGUGUUCGGGCUUCCUGAAGGUAAUACCCGGGUAUUAGGUUAUGGGGCUAGGGUAAGGUUUAAGGUUUUUGGCGUUAGGGUUAAAAUCACUGUCCAAAACCUUUUUAGGAACAUGUUUCAGACCUUUGGGAGUUAGUUAGACAAAAAAAAAAGAAAAAGAAAAAAAAAAUAUUUGGGGUGUUCGGGUUUCCUGAAGGUAAUACCCGGGUAUUAGGUUUUGGGGCUAGGGUAAGGUUUAAGGUUUUUGGCGUUAGGGUUAAAAUCACUGUCCAAAACCUUUUAAGGAACAAGAUUCAGACCUUUUGGAGUUGGUUACACCAAAAAAAAUUUAACAUGACAAAAAAAAUAUUUGGGGUGUUCGGGCUUCCUGAAGGUAAUACCCGGGUAUUAGGUUAUGGGGCUAGGGUAAGGUUUAAGGUUUUUGGCGUAAGGGUUAAAAUCACUGUCCAAAAUUUUUUAGGAACAUGUUUCAGACCUUUUGGAGUUAGUUAGACAAAAAAAAAAGAAAAAUGAAAAAAAAUAUUUGGGGUGUUCGGGCUUCCUGAAGGUAAUACCCGGGUAUUAGGUUAUGGGGCUAGGGUAAGGUUUAAGGUUUUUGGCGUUAGAGUUAAAAUCAGUGUCCAAAACCUUUUUAGGAACAUGUUUCAGACCUUUUGGAGUUGGUUACACCAAAAAAAAUGUAAAAUGAAAAAAAAUAUAUUUGGGGUGUUCGGGCUUCCUGAAGGUAAUACCCGGGUAUUAGGUUUUGGGGCUAGGGUAAGGUUUAAGGUUUUUGGCGGUAGGGUUAAAAUCACUGUCCAAAACCUUUGUAGGAACUCUUUUCCAACCUUUUGGAGUUAGUUAGACCAAAAAAAAAAGAUAAAUGAAAAAAAAAAUAUUUGGGGUCUUCGGGUUUCCUGAAGGAAUUAGGUUUUGGGGCUAGGGUAAGGUUUAAGGUUUUUGGCGUUAGGGUUAAAAUCACUGUCCAAAACCUUUUAAGGAACAAGAUUCAGACCUUUUGGAGUUGGUUACACCAAAAAAAAUGUAAAAUGACAAAAAAAAUAUUUGGGGUGUUCAGGCUUCCUGAAGGUAAUACCCUUCAGGUUUCAGUAUUAGGUUAUGGGGCUAGGAUUAGGUUUAAGGUUUUUGGCAUAAGGGUUAAAAUCACUGUCCAAUAUUUUUUCAGGAACAUGUUUCAGACCUUUGGGAGUUAGUUAGACCAAAAAAAACAAAAUAUAUAUAUAUAUAUAUUUGGGGUCUUAGGGCUUCCUGAAGGAAAUACCCAGGUAUAGGUUAUGGGGCUAUAGUAAGGUUAAAGGUUUUUGGCGUAAGGGUUAAAAUCACUGUCCAAAACCUUUGUAGGAACUCUUUUCCAACCUUUUGGAGUUAGUUAGACCACAAAAAAAAGAAAAAUGAAAAAAAAAUAUUUGGGGUUUUUGGGCUUCCUGAAGGUAAUACCCGGGUAUUAGGUUAUGGGGCUAGGGUAAGGUUUAAGGUUUUUGGCGUUAGGUUUAAAAUCACUGUCCAAAACCUUUUUAGGAACAUGUUUAAGACCUUUUGGAGUUGGUUACAGCAAAAAAAAUGUAAAAAGAAAAAAUAUAUAUUUGGGGUGUUCGGGCUUCCUGAAGGUAAUACCCGGGUAUUAGGUUUCGGGGCAAGGGUUAGGUUUAAGGUUUUUGGCGUUAGGGUUAAAAUAACUGUCCAAUAUUUUUUUAAGGAACAUGUUUCAGACCUUUGGGAGUUAGUUAGACAAAAAAAAGAAAAAGAAAAAAAAUAUAUUUGGGGUGUUCGGGUUUCCUGAAGGUAAUACCCGGGUAUUAGGUUAUGGGGCUAGGGUAAGGUUUAAGGUUUUUGGCGUUAGAGUAAAAUGAAAAAAAAAUAUAUUUGGGGUCUUCGGGCUUCCUGAAGGUAAUACCCGGGUAUUAGGUUUUGGGGCUAGGGUAAGGUUUAAGGUUUUUGGAGUUAGGGUUAAAAUCACUGUCCAAAACCUUUGUAGGAACUCUUUUCCGACCUUUUGGAGUUAGUUAGACCAAAAAAAAAGAAAAAAGAAAAAAAUAUAUUUGGGGUCUUCGGGCUUCCUGAAGGAAAUACCCGGGUAUGAGGUUAUGGGGCUAGGGUAAGGUUUAAGGUUUUUGGCGUUAGGGUUAAAAUCACUGUCCAAAACCUUUGUAGGAACUCUUUUCCAACCUUUUGGAGUUAGUUAGACCAAAAAAAAAGAAAAAAGAAAAAAAUAUAUUUGGGGUCUUCGGGCUUCCUGAAGGUAAUACCCGGGUAUUAGGUUAUGGGGCUAGGGUAAGGUUUAAGGUUUUUGGCGUUAGGGUUAAAAUCACUGUCCAAAACCUUUGUAGGAACUCUUUUCCAACCUUUUGGAGUUAGUUAGACCAAAAAAAAACGAAAAAUGAAAAAAAAAUAUUUGGGGUUUUUGGGCUUCCUGAAGGUAAUACCCGGGUAUUAGGUUAUGGGGCUAGGGUAAGGUUUAAGGUUUUUGGCGUUAGGUUUAAAAUCACUGUCCAAAACCUUUUUAGGAACAUGUUUAAGACCUUUUGGAGUUGGUUACACCAAAAAAAAUGUAAAAAGAAAAAAUAUAUAUUUGGGGUGUUCGGGCUUCCUGAAGGUAAUACCCGGGUAUUAGGUUAUGGGGCUAGGUUAAGGUUUAAGGUUUUUGGCGUGAGGGUUAAAAUCACUGUCCAAAACCUUUGUAGGAAGUCUUUUCCAACCUUUUGGAGUUAGUUAGACAAAAAAAAAAAGAAAAAUGAAAAAAAAAUAUUUGGGGUGUUCGGGCUUCCUGAAGGUAAUACCCGGGUAUUAGGUUAUGGGGCUAGGGUAAGGUUUAAGGUUUUUGGCGUAAGGGUUAAAAUCACUGUCCAAAACCUUUUUAGGAACAUGUUUCAGACCUUUUGGAGUUGGUUACACCAAAAAAAAUGUAAAAUGAAAAAAAAUUUUUUUGGGGUGUUCGGGCUUCCUGAAGGUAAUACUAGGUUUCUGGGCUAGGGUAAGGUUUAAGGUUUUUGGCGUUAGGGUUAAAAUCAAUGUCCAAAACCUUUGUAGGAACUCUUUUCCAACCUUUGAGAGCAAGUUAGACCAAAACAAAAAGAAAAAUAAAAAAUAUAUAUUUGGGGUGUUCGGGCUUCCUGAAGGUAAUACCCGGGUAUUAGGUAGGGAUGCACGAUAUUUAUCGGACCGAUAAAAUAUCGGCCGAUUUGGGGGGAAAUUACGUCAUUUUUUAUCGGUCCGAUAGGUGCAUUUUUCCGAUAGAAAGAUCCGAUAUAUUAAUGAAAUUACGAGUAACAUUUGCAGGCGGAGUAGCCGCCCGUCCGAGACGCGCUGGUUACGUCAUCUAUCGCGCCUUACUCGCAGGUCCCAAGCCUGACCCCGUCACUACCUGACAGAUAAUAAAAUGUCUUCACCAGCAUGGUCGUUUCUCUCAGUGGCAGAAGAUGACAACAGCAUUGCUAUAUGCAAAACCUGUUCAGCGAGGAUUCCGAGAGGAGGAAAGAAGACGUCAAGUAUUAACACAGCGAAUCUGAUAGCUCAUCUGAAAAGUCGCCAUCGCGGCGAAGCGGUAAUAAAAGAAUAUGAGACAGCCGCCGAAGCUGCUAGCGGUACUAAAGCUAAGACAACAACACUACGGAGGAUCGAUGUCCCCAUUCAGCGGGCGUUUAAAAACUGCAAAAGCUUCUCAAGAGACAGCGAAAAGGCUAAAGCCAUUAAUGACAAAGUGAUGGAGUUCAUAGCGGUCGACGACCAGCCUUUUUCCGUCGUUGAGAACCCGGGUUUUCGUAAGUUCAUAGCACACUUGGAGCCACGUUACACUCUCCCAAGCCGCCGCUUCUUCUCGGAUGUGUCUCUUCCUGCACUCUAUGAUAUUGUCGCCACAUACAUUCACAACCUGAUCGACAAGAAUGGACUACACGUGAGUUUUACCACAGACAUAUGGACGUCAGAUGUUAGUCAGGUCAGCAUGCUAAGCCUAACGUCUCAUAAUAGCUCCUUUACAGUUUACAGUUCUGUUGAACCGUUCAGGGGAUCAAAUGAAGUUCUGCUUUUUGCUCUGUUAUUGUUAUUUAUAGCAAAUGACCACAUUUGAAGAGCCAAAAACUUUUGUUUGUUGUUCUAGAUAGGCCAGAGCAACAAAAAGAUCAGUUUUCAAUCGCUGCAUCCUGCACAAACUGCAGAUUAUAUGAAGAUUAUAAUAAAUGUAAAAAUAUGAAUUUAUCGGUUAUCGGUAUCGGUAUCGGUAUCGGCCAUGAGAAGAAGAAAAUUAUCGGUUAUCGGUAUCGGUUGAAAUUUUUCAUAUCGUGCAUCACUAGUAUUAGGUUAUGGGGCUAGGGUAAGGUUUAAGGUUUUUCGGCGUGAGGGUAAAAAUCACUGUCCAAAACCUUUGUAGGAACUCUUUUCCAACCUUUGGGAAUUAGUUAGACAAAAAAAAAAGAUAAAUGAAAAAAAAAUAUUUGGGGUGUUCGGGCUUCCUGAAGGUAAUACCCGGGUAUGAGGUUAAGGGGCUAGGGUUAGGUUUAAGGUUUUUGGCGUUAGGGUUAAAAUAACUGUCCAAUAUUUUUUAAGGAACAUGUUUCAGACCUUUGGGAGUUAGUUAGACAAAAAAAAAGAAAAAGAAAAAAAAAUAUUUGGGGUGUUCGGGCUUCCUGAAGGUAAUACCCGGGUAUUAGGUUAUGGGGCUAGGGUAAGGUUUAAGGUUUUUGGCGUUAGGGUUAAAAUCACUGUCCAAAACCUUUGUAGGAACUAUUUUCCAACCUUUUGGAGUUAGUUAGACCAAAAAAAAAAUGAAAAAAUGAAAAAAAUAUUUGGGGUGUUCGGGCUUCCUGAAGGUAAUACCCGGGUAUUAGGUUUUGGGGCUAGGGUUAGGUUUAAGGUUUUUGGCGUUAGGGUUAAAAUCACUGUCCAAUAUUUUUUAAGGAACAUGUUUCAGACCUUUGGGAGUUAGUUAGACAAAAAAAAAAAAAAAAAAAGAAAAAAAAAUAUUUGGGGUGUUCGGGCUUCCUGAAGGUAAUACCCGGGUAUUAGGUUAUGGGGCUAGGGUAAGGUUUAAGGUUUUUGGCGUUAGAGUUAAAAUCAGUGUCCAAAACCUUUUUAGGAACAUGUUUAAGACCUUUUGGAGUUGGUUACACCAAAAAAAAUGUAAAAUGAAAAAAAAAAUAUUUGGGGUGUUCGGGCUUCCUGAAGGUAAUACCCGGGUAUUAGGUUUUGGGGCUAGGGUAAGGUUUAAGGUUUUUGGCGUUAGGGUUAAAAUCACCGUCCAAAACCUUUGUAGGAACUCUUUUCCGACCUUUUGGAGUUAGUUAGACCAAAAAAAAAGAAAAAAGAAAAAAAUAUAUUUGGGGUCUUCGGGCUUCCUGAAGGAAAUACCCGGGUAUGAGGUUAUGGGGCUAGGGUAAGGUUUAAGGUUUUUGGCGUUAGGGUUAAAAUCACUGUCCAAAACCUUUGUAGGAACUCUUUUCCAACCUUUUGGAGUUAGUUAGACCACAAAAAAAAGAAAAAUGAAAAAAAUAUAUUUGGGGUCUUCGGGCUUCCUGAAGGUAAUACCCGGGUAUUAGGUUAUGGGGCUAGGGUAAGGUUUAAGGUUUUUGGCGUUAGGGUUAAAAUCACUGUCCAAAACCUUUGUAGGAACUCUUUUCCAACCUUUUGGAGUUAGUUAGACCAAAAAAAAACGAAAAAUGAAAAAAAAAUAUUUGGGGUUUUUGGGCUUCCUGAAGGUAAUACCCGGGUAUUAGGUUAUGGGGCUAGGGUAAGGUUUAAGGUUUUUGGCGUUAGGGUUAAAAUCACUGUCCAAAACCUUUUUAGGAACAUGUUUAAGACCUUUUGGAGUUGGUUACACCAAAAAAAAUGUAAAAAGAAAAAAUAUAUAUUUGGGGUGUUCGGGCUUCCUGAAGGUAAUACCCGGGUAUUAGGUUAUGGGGCUAGGGUAAGGUUUAAGGUUUUUGGCGUGAGGGUUAAAAUCACUGUCCAAAACCUUUGUAGGAAGUCUUUUCCAACCUUUUGGAGUUAGUUAGACAAAAAAAAAAAAAAUAAAAAAAAAAUAUUUGGGGUGUUCGGGCUUCCUGAAGGUAAUACCCGGGUAUUAGGUUAUGGGGCUAGGGUAAGGUUUAAGGUUUUUGGCGUUAGGGUUAAAAUCACUGUCCAAAACCUUUUUAGGAACAUGUUUCAGACCUUUUGGAGUUAGUUAGACCAAAAAAAAAUGAAAAAUGAAAAAAAAAAUAUUUGGGGUUUCGGGCUUCCUGAAGGUAAUACUAGGUUUUGGGGCUAGGGUAAGGUUUAAGGUUUUUGGCGUUAGGGUUAAAAUCACUGUCCAAAACCUUUGUAGGAACUCUUUUCCAACCUUUUGGAGUUGGUUACACCAAAAAAAAUGUAAAAUGAAAAAAUAUAUAUUUGGGGUGUUCGGGCUUCCUGAAGGUAAUACCCGGGUAUUAGGUAGGGAUGCACGAUAUUUAUCGGACCGAUAAAAUAUCGGCCGAUUUGGGGGGAAAUUACGUCAUUUUUUAUCGGUCCGAUAGGUGCAUUUUUCCGAUAGAAAGAUCCGAUAUAUUAAUGAAAUUACGAGUAACAUUUGCAGGCGGAGUAGCCGCCCGUCCGAGACGCGCUGGUUACGUCAUCUAUCGCGCCUUACUCGCAGGUCCCAAGCCUGACCCCGUCACUACCUGACAGAUAAUAAAAUGUCUUCACCAGCAUGGUCGUUUCUCUCAGUGGCAGAAGAUGACAACAGCAUUGCUAUAUGCAAAACCUGUUCAGCGAGGAUUCCGAGAGGAGGAAAGAAGACGUCAAGUAUUAACACAGCGAAUCUGAUAGCUCAUCUGAAAAGUCGCCAUCGCGGCGAAGCGGUAAUAAAAGAAUAUGAGACAGCCGCCGAAGCUGCUAGCGGUACUAAAGCUAAGACAACAACACUACGGAGGAUCGAUGUCCCCAUUCAGCGGGCGUUUAAAAACUGCAAAAGCUUCUCAAGAGACAGCGAAAAGGCUAAAGCCAUUAAUGACAAAGUGAUGGAGUUCAUAGCGGUCGACGACCAGCCUUUUUCCGUCGUUGAGAACCCGGGUUUUCGUAAGUUCAUAGCACACUUGGAGCCACGUUACACUCUCCCAAGCCGCCGCUUCUUCUCGGAUGUGUCUCUUCCUGCACUCUAUGAUAUUGUCGCCACAUACAUUCACAACCUGAUCGACAAGAAUGGACUACACGUGAGUUUUACCACAGACAUAUGGACGUCAGAUGUUAGUCAGGUCAGCAUGCUAAGCCUAACGUCUCAUAAUAGCUCCUUUACAGUUUACAGUUCUGUUGAACCGUUCAGGGGAUCAAAUGAAGUUCUGCUUUUUGCUCUGUUAUUGUUAUUUAUAGCAAAUGACCACAUUUGAAGAGCCAAAAACUUUUGUUUGUUGUUCUAGAUAGGCCAGAGCAACAAAAAGAUCAGUUUUCAAUCGCUGCAUCCUGCACAAACUGCAGAUUAUAUGAAGAUUAUAAUAAAUGUAAAAAUAUGAAUUUAUCGGUUAUCGGUAUCGGUAUCGGUAUCGGUAUCGGCCAUGAGAAGAAGAAAAUUAUCGGUUAUCGGUAUCGGUUGAAAUUUUUCAUAUCGUGCAUCACUAGUAUUAGGUUAUGGGGCUAGGGUAAGGUUUAAGGUUUUUCGGCGUGAGGGUAAAAAUCACUGUCCAAAACCUUUGUAGGAACUCUUUUCCAACCUUUGGGAAUUAGUUAGACAAAAAAAAAAGAUAAAUGAAAAAAAGAUAUUUGGGGUGUUCGGGCUUCCUGAAGGUAAUACCCGGGUAUGAGGUUAUGGGGCUAGGGUUAGGUUUAAGGUUUUUGGCGUUAGGGUUAAAAUAACUGUACAAUAUUUUUUAAGGAACAUGUUUCAGACCUUUGGGAGUUAGUUAGACAAAAAAAAAAGAAAAAGAAAAAAAAUAUAUUUGGGGUGUUCGGGUUUCCUGAAGGUAAUACCCGGGUAUUAGGUUAUGGGGCUAGGGUAAGGUUUAAGGUUUUUGGUGUUAGGGUUAGAAUCACUGUCCAAAACCUUUGUAGGAACUCUUUUCCGACCUUUUGGAGUUAGUUAGACUAAAAAAAAAGAAAAAAGAAAAAAAUAUAUUUGGGGUCUUCGGGCUUCCUGAAGGUAAUACCCGGGUAUUAGGUUUUGGGGCUAGGGUAAGGUUUAAGGUUUUUGGCGUUAGGGUUAAAAUCACUGUCCAAAACCUUUGUAGGAACUAUUUUCCAACCUUUUGGAGUUAGUUAGACCAAAAAAAAAACGAAAAAUGAAAAAAAAUAUUUGGGGUUUUCGGGCUUCCUGAAGGUAAUACCCGGGUAUUAGGUUUUGGGGCUAGGGUUAGGUUUAAGGUUUUUGGUGUUAGGGUUAAAAUCACUGUCCAAUAUUUUUUAAGGAACAUGUUUCAGACCUUUGGGAGUUAGUUAGACAAAAAAAAAAAAAAAAAGAAAAAAAAAUUUGGGGUGUUCGGGCUUCCUGAAGGUAAUACCCGGGUAUUAGGUUAUGGGGCUAGGGUAAGGUUUAAGGUUUUUGGCGUUAGAGUUAAAAUCAGUGUCCAAAACCUUUUUAGGAACAUGUUUAAGACCUUUUGGAGUUGGUUACACCAAAAAAAAUGUAAAAUGAAAAAAAAAAUAUUUGGGGUGUUCGGGCUUCCUGAAGGUAAUACCCGGGUAUUAGGUUUUGGGGCUAGGGUAAGGUUUAAGGUUUUUGGUGUUAGGGUUAAAAUCACCGUCCAAAACCCUUGUAGGAACUCUUUUCCAACCUUUUGGAGUUAGUUAGACCAAAAAAAAAGAAAAAAGAAAAAAAUAUAUUUGGGGUCUUCGGGCUUCCUGAAGGUAAUACUAGGUUUCUGGGCUAGGGUAAUGUUUAAGGUUUUUGGCGUUAGGGUUACAAUCAAUGUCCAAAACCUUUGUAGGAACUCUUUUCCAACCUUUGAGAGCAAGUUAGACCAAAACAAAAAGAAAAGUAAAAAAUAUAUAUUUGGGUUGUUCGGGCUUCCUGAAGGUAAUACCCGGGUAUUAGGUUAUGGGGCUAGGGAAAGGUUUAAGGUUUUUCGGCGUGAGGGUAAAAAUCACUGUCCAAAACCUUUGUAGGAACUCUUUUCCAACCUUUGGGAAUAAGUUAGACAAAAAAAAUUAGAUAAAUGAAAAAAAAAUAUUUGGGGUGUUCGGGCUUCCUGAAGGUAAUACCCGGGUAUGAGGUUAAGGGGCUAGGGUUAGGUUUAAGGUUUUUGGCGUUAGGGUUAAAAUAACUGUCCAAUAUUUUUUAAGGAACAUGUUUCAGACCUUUGGGAGUUAGUAAGACAAAAAAAAAAGAAAAAGAAAAAAAAUAUAUUUGGGGUGUUCGGGUUUCCUGAAGGUAAUACCUGGGUAUUAGGUUAUGGGGCUAAGGUAAGGUUUAAGGUUUUUGGCGUUAGGGUUAAAAUCAAUGUCCCAAACCUUUGUAGGAACUCUUUUCCAACCUUUGAGAGCAAGUUAAACCAAAACAAAAAGAAAAAUAAAAAAUAUAUAUUUGGGGUGUUCGGGCUUCCUGAAGGUAAUACCCGGGUAUUAGGUUAUGGGGCUGGGGGUAAGGUUUAAGGUUUUUGGCGUUAGGGUUAAAAUAACUGUCCAAUAUUUUUUAAGGAACAUGUUUCAGACCUUUGGGAGUUAGUAAGACAAAAAAAAAAAGAAAAAGAAAAAAAAUAUAUUUGGGGUGUUCGGGUUUCCUGAAGGUAAUACCUGGGUAUUAGGUUAUGGGGCUAGGGUAAGGUUUAAGGUUUUUGGCGUUAGAGUUAAAAUCAGUGUCCAAAACCUUUUUAGGAACAUGUUUAAGACCUUUUGGAGUUGGUUACACCAAAAAAAAAUGUAAAAUGAAAAAAAAAAUAUUUGGGGUGUUCGGGCUUCCUGAAGGUUAUGGGGCUAGGGUAAGGUUUAAGGUUUUUGGUGUUAGGGUUAAAAUCACUGUCCAAAACCUUUGUAGGAACUCUUUUCCAACCUUUUGGAGUUAGUUAGAGCAAAAACUAACGAAAAAUAAAAAAAAAAUAUUUGGGGUUUUUGGGCUUCUGAAGGUAAUACCCGGGUAUUAGGUUUUGGGGCUAGGGUAAGGUUUAAGGUUUUUGGCGUUAGGGUUAAAAUCACUGUCCAAGACCUUUGUAGGAACUCUUUUCCAACCUUUUGGAGUUAGUUAGAGCAAAAACUAACGAAAAAUAAAAAAAAAAUAUUUGGGGUUUUUGGGCUUCUGAAGGUAAUACCCGGGUAUUAGUUUAUGGGGCUAUAGUAAGGUUUAAGGUUUUUGGCGUGAGGGUUAAAAUCACUGUCCAAAACCUUUGUAGGACCUCUUUUCCAACCUUUUGGAGUUAGUUAGACCAAAAAAAAAUGAAAAAUGAAAAAAAAAUAUUUGGGGUUUUUGGGCUUCCUGAAGGUAAUACCCGUGUAUUAGGUUAUGGGGCUAGGGUAAGGUUUAAGGUUUUUGGCGUUAGGUUUAAUAUCACUGUCCAAAACAUUUUUAGGAACAUGUUUAAGACCUUUUGGAGUUGGUUACACCAAAAAAAAUGUAAAAAGAAAAAAUAUAUAUUUGGGUUCAUAUUUGGGUUUUUAUUUCAAGUUCAACAAUUGCAACAACCUCAAGUUCAAAAACCGCCACAAACUCAAGUUCAAAAACACCACAACCUCAAGUUCAAAAAACACCACAAACUCAAGUUCAAACACGACACAAACUGAAGUUCAACAAACACAAAAACUCGAGUUCAAAAACACCACAAACUCAAGUUCAACAAACACCACAAACUCAAGUUCAAAAACAACACAAACUCGAGUUCAAAAACACCACAAAAUCAAGUUCAAACACGUCACACACUCAAGUUCAACAAUUGCCACAACCUCAAGUUCAAAAACACCAAAAACUCAAGUUCAAAAACACCACAACCUCAAGUUCAAAAAACACCACAAACUGAAGUUCAAACACGACACAAACUCAAGUUCAACAAACACACAAACUCAAGUUCAACCAAUACCCAAUUAUCAAGUUCAACAAUUGCCAAAACCUCAAGUUCAGAAACAACAAACUCAAGUUCAAAAAACACACAAACUCAAGUUAAACAAACAAGAAACCUCAAGUUCAAAAACACCACAACCUCAAGAUCAAACACGAAACAAACUCAAGUUCAAUCAACACCCAAAUCUCAAGUUUACGUUUUUCCACAACCUCAAGUUCAAAAACACCACAAACUCGAGUUCAAAAACACCACAAAAUCAUGUUUAAACACGUCACAAACUCAAGUUUAACAAAUGCCACAAACUCAAGUUAAAACUGGACACAAACUGAAGUUCAACAAACACAAAAACUCGAGUUCAAAAACACCACAACCUCAAGUUCAAACACGACACAAACUCAAAUUCCACAAACACCACGAACUCAAGUUCAAAAACACCACAAAAUCAAGUUCAAACACGUCACAAACUCAAGUUCAACAAUUGCCACAACCUCAAGUUCAAAAACCGCCACAAACUCAAGUUCAAAAACACCAAACUCAAGUUCAAAAACACCACAAACUCAAGUUCAAACACGACAAAAACUCAAGUUCAACAAACACACAAACUCAAGUUCAACCAAUACCCAAUUCUCAAGUUUAACAAUUUCCACAACCUCAAGUUCAAAAACACCAACAACUCGAGUUCAAAAACACCACAAAAUCAUGUUUAAACACGUCACAAACUCAAGUUUAACAAAUGCCACAAACUCAAGUUCAACAAUUGCCACCAACUAAAGUUCACUAAAAACAACAGACUCAAGUUCAAUAAUUGCCAAAACCUCAAGUUCAGAAACAAGAAACUCAAGUUCAAAAAACACACAAACUCAAGAUCAACAAACACGCAAACUCAAGUUUAAAAACACCACAACCUCAAGCUCAAAAACGACAUAAACUCAAGUUCAACAAAAACCACAAACUCAAGUUCAAAAAAACCACAAACUCAAGUUCAACCAACACCUGAUUCUCAAGUUUUAACAAUUUUCACAACCUCAAGUUCAAAAACUGCCACAAACUCAAUUAAAAAAUACCACAACCUCAAGUUCAAACACAACACAAGCUGGAGUUCAACAUACACCACAAACUCAAGUUCAACAAAUGGCAAAGUUUUAAGUUCAACCAACACCCAAAUCUCAAGUUUAACAAUUGCAACAACCUCAAGUUCAAACACGCUACGAACUCAAGUCAAAAACACCACAACCUCAAGUUCAAAAAACACCACAAACUCAAGUUCAACCACCACCCAAUCCUCAAGUUUAAAAAUUUCCACAAACUUAAGUUCAAAAAACCACAACCUCAAGUUAAAAAAACCACAAACUCAAGUUCAAACACGCCAAAAACUGAAGUUCAACAAACACAAAAACUCGAGUUCAAAAACACCACAACCUCAAGUUCAAACACGUCACAAACUCAAGUUCAACAAACGCCAUAAACUCAUGUUCAACAAUUGCAACCAACUAAAGUUCACUAAAAACCACAGACUCAAGUUCAACAAUUGCCAAAACCUCAAGUUCAGAAACAACAAACUCAAGUUCAAAAAACACACAAACUCAAGUUAAACAAACAAGAAACCUCAAGUUCAAAAACACCACAACCUCAAGUUCAAACACGAAACAAACUCAAGUUCAACAAAAACCACAAACUCAAGUUCAACAAAUGAAAAACUUUUAAGUUCAACCAACACCCAAAUCUCAAUUUUAGAAAUUGCCACAACCUAAAGUUCAAAAGCAACACAAACUCAAGUUCAAAAACACCACAACCUCAGGCUCAAAAAAACACCACAAACCAAAGUUCAAACACGACACAAACUCAAGUUCAACAAACACACAAACUCAAGUUCAACCAAUACCAAAUUCUCAAGUUUAACAAAUUCCACAACCUCAAGUUCAAAAACACCACAAACUCAAGUUCAACAAAAACCACAAACCCAAGUUCAACAAAUGUCAAACUCAAGUUCAACAAUUGCCACAAACUCAAGUUCAGAAACAACAAACUCAAGUUAAAAAAAAACACAAACUCAAGUUUAACAAACACGCAAACUCAAAUUCAAAAACACCACAAACUCGAGCUCAAACACGACACAAACUCAAGUUAAAAAAAAAAUACUCAAGUUCAAUCAACACCUGAUUCUCAAGUUUAACAAGUUCCACAACCUCAAGUUGAAAAAUAACACAAACUCAAGUACAAAACACAACAAAAUCAAGUUCAAAAACAGCACAACCUCAAGCUUAAAAACUCCACAAACUGAAGUUAAAACACAACACAAUCUCUUGUUCAACAAACACACAAACUCAAGUUCAACCAAUACCCAAUUCUCAAGUUUCACAAUUUCCAACACCUCAAGUUCAAAAAAACCACAAACUUAAGUUCAAAAACACCACAAACUCAAGUUCAACCACGAUUCAAACUCAAGUUCAAAAACACCACAAACUCAAGUUCAAAGACACCAAAAACUAAAGUUCAAAAAACACACAAACUCAAGUUUGAAAACACCACAAACUCAAGUUCAAACAAGACACAAACUUAAGUUCAACAAACACACAAACUCAAGUUCAACAAAUGCCAAACUUUUAAGUUGAACCAACACCCAAAUCUCAAGUUCAACAAUUGCCACAACCUAGAGUUCAACAAACGCCACAAACUCAAGUUCAAACACGAAACAACCUCAAGUUCAAAAACACCACAAACUCAAGUUCAAAAACACAACACACCCUCAAGUUCAAAAACACCAAAAACUCAAGUUCAAAAACACCACAAACAAAGUUCAAACACGAAACAAACUCAAGUUCAAAUACACCACAAACUCAAGUUCAACAAUUGCCACCAAUUAAAGUUCACCAAAAACCACAGACUCAAGUUCAACAAUUGCCACAAACUCAAGUUCAAAAAAAUUAAGUUCAAAAAACACACAAAUUCAAGUUCAACAAACAACACGAACUCAAGUUCAAACACGACACAAACUCAAGUUCAACCAACAACCAAAUCUUAAGUUUAACAAUUGCCACAACCUAAGUUCAACAAACGCCACAACUCAAGUUCAACAAACACACAAACUCAAGUUCAAAAAGACCACAAACUCAAGUUCAAACAUGACACAAACUCAAGUUCAACAAACACACAAACUUAAGUUCAACCAAUACCCAAUUCUCAAGUUUAACAAAUUCCACACCCUCAAGUUCAAAAACACGACAAAAACUCAAGUUCAAAAACACGACACAAACUCAAGUUCAACCAACACCUGAUUCUCAAAUUUAACAAUUUCCACAACCUCAAGUUCAAAAACAACAGAAACCUAAGUUCAAAAAACACAAACUCAAGUUAACCAAACAAGCAAAUUCAAGUUCAAAAACACCACAAACUCAAGUUCAAACACGAAACAAACUCAAGUUCAAAAACCACACAAACUCAAGUUCAAAAAACACACAAACUCUAGUUCAAACCGACACAAACUCAAGUUCAACAAAAACCACAAACUCAAGUUCAAACACGACACAAAAUCAAGCUCAACAAAUGCCACAAACUAAAGUUCAAACAACACAAACUCAAGUUCAACAAACACACUAACUCAAGUUCAAAAACACCACAAUCUCAAGUUCAAACACAAAACAAACUCAAGUUCAAAACACAAAAACUCAAGUUCAAAAACACCACAAACUCAAGUGGUAAAACACCACAAACUCAAGUUCAAACACCACACAAACUCAAGUUCAACAAACACCACAAACUCAAGUUCAAACACGAAACAAACAACUCAAGUUAAAAAACACACAAACUCAAGUUCAAACACGACACAAACUCAAGUUCAACAAAAACCACAAACUCAAGUUCAACAAACACCACAAACUCAAGUUCAACAAACGCAACAAACUCAAGUUCAAACAUGAAACCACCUCAAGUUAAAAAACACAACAAACUCACGUUCAAACACGACACAAACUCAAGUUCAACAAACACAUAACUCAAGUUCAACCAAUUCCCAAAUCUGAAGUUUAAAAAUUGCCACAACGUUAAAUUCAAAAACACCACAAACUCAAGUUCAAACACAACACAAACUCAAGUUCAAUAAACACACAAACUCAAGUUCAACAAACACACAAACUCAAGUUAAAACACGAUACAAACUGAAGUUCAAAAAAAUCAAAAACUAAAGUUCAACCAAUACCCAAUUCUCAAGUUCAACAAACACACAAACUCAAGUUAAAACACGAUACAAACUGAAGUUCAAAAAACGCACAAUCUCAAGUUCAACCAACACCAAUCUCAAGUUUAACAAACCACAAACUCAAGUUCAAAAAAACACAAAUCUCAAGUUCAACCAACACCUGAUCUCAAGUUUAACAAUUUCCACAACCUCAAGUUCAAAAACAACAGAAACCUAAGUUCAAAAAACACAAAAACCCAAGUUAACCAAACACCCAAAUUCAAGUUCAAAAACACCACAAACUCAAGUUCAAACAUGACAAAAACUCAAAUUCAACAAACGCCACAAACUCAAGUUCAAACACGAAACAAACUCAAGUUCAAACACGACACAAACUCAAGUUCAACAAAAACCACAAACUCUAGUUCCAACACGACACAAAAUAAAGCUCAACAAACGCCACAAACGAAAGAUCAAACAAAAAACAAACUCAAGUUCAACAAACACACUAACUCAAGUUCAAAAACACCACAAUCUCAAGUUCAAACACAAAACAAACUCAAGUUCAACAAACACAAAACCUCAAGUUCAAAAACACCACAAACUCAAGUUCAAACACGACAAAAAACUCAAGUUCUACAAACACACUAACUCAAGUUCAACCAACACCUGAUUCUCAAGUUUAAAUUUUUUCCAGAACCUCAAGUACAAAAACAACAGAAAUUCAAGUUCAAAAAACACAAAAACUCAAGUUCACCAAACACGCAACUCAAGUUCAACCAACACACAAACUCAAGUUCAAAAACACCACAAACUCAAGUUCAAACACAACACAAACUCAAGUUCAAAAACACCACAAACUCAAAUUCAAAAACAUCACAAACUCAAGUUAAAACACGAACCAAACUCAAGUUCAACAAAAUCACAAACUCAAGUUCAACCAAUACCCAAUUCUCAAGUUUAACAAUUUCAACAACCUCAAGUUCAAAAACACCAAAAACUCAAGUUCAACAAACACACAAACUCAAGUUCAACCAACACCUGAUUCUCAAGUUUAACAAUUUCCACAACCUCAAGUUCAAAAACAACAGAAACUCAAGUUAACCAAACAGGCAAAUUCAAGUUCAAAAACACCACAAACUCAAGUUCAAACAUGACACAAACUCAAAUUCAACAAACGCCACAAACUCAAGUUCAAACACGAAACAAACUCAAGUUCAAAAACCACACAAACUCAAGUUCAAAACACACACAAUCUCAAGUUCAAACACGACACAAACUCAAGUUCAAAAAAACCAACAAACUCAAGUUCAAACACGACACAAAAUCAAGCUCAAAAAACGCCACAAACUAAAGUUCAAACACAACACAAAAUCAAGUUCAACAAACACACUAACUCAAGUUCAAAAACACCACAAUCUCAAGCUCAAACAUGAAACACACUCAAGUUCAACGAACACAAAAACUCAAGUUCAAAAACAACACAAACUCAUGGUCAAACACGCUACAAACUCAAGUUCAAACACGACACAAACUCAAGUUCAAAACACAAAAAAAUCAAGUUCAACCAAUACCCAAUUCUCAAGUUUAACAAUUUCCACAAUCUCAAGUUCAAAAACAACACAUGCUCAAGUUCAAAAACACCAAAAAUCAAGUUCAAAAACGAGACAAACUCAUGUUCAACAAAAACCACAAACUCAAGUUCAACCAUUACCUGAUUCUCAAGUUUAAAAAUUUUCACAACCUCAAGUUCAAAAAACACACAAACUCAAUUCAAAAAACAACACGAGACAAAGUUCCAACACGACACAAACUCAAGUUCAACAAACACUAACUCAAGUUCAUCAAACACCUGAUUCUCAAGUUUAACAAUUUCCAAAAACUCAAGUUCAAAAACACCAAAAACUCAAGUUCAACCAAUACCAAUUUCUCAAUAUAACAUAUUCCACACCCUCAAGUUCAAAAACACCACAAACCCAAGUUCAACCAACACCCAAAUCUCAAGUUUAACAAUUGCCACAAAACUAAGUUAAAAAACCACACAAACUCAAGUUCAACCAACACCCAAAUCUCAAGUUCAACAAUUGCCACAACCUCAAGUUCAAAAACAACAGAAACUCAAGUUAAAACACGCCACAAACUCAAGUUCAACAAAGACACAAACUCAAGUUCAAAAACACCACAAACCCAAGUUCAACCAACACCCAAAUCUCAAGUUUAACAAUUGCCACAAAACUAAGUUAAAAAACCACACAUACUCAAGUUCAAAAACACCACAAACUCAAGUUCAAACAUGACACAAACUCAAGUUCAACCAACACCCAAAUCUCAAGUUUAACAAUUGCCACAACCUCAAGUUCAAAAACAACAGAAACUCAAGUUCAAACACGAGACAAACUGAAGUUCAACAAACACACAAACUCAAGUUCAAUCAAUACCCAAUUCUCAAGUUUAACAAUUUCCACAACCUCAAGUUCAACAAACUCAAGUUCAAAAAUUGCAAAAAAAUCAAGUUCAAUUACGACACAAACUCAAGUUCAACCAACACCCAAAUCUCAAGUUUAACAUUUGCCAAAACCUCAAGUUCAAAAACAACACAAACUCAAGUUCAAACACGCCUAAAACUCAAGUUCAACAAACACACAAACUCAAGUUCAAAAACACCACAAAUUCAAGUUCAAACAUGUCACAAACUCAAGUUCAACAAACACAGAAACUCAAGUCAACCAAUACCCAAAUAUGAAGCUUAGCGUUAAGGGGUGUUCAGACCAAACGCGACUUCGGUGACGUCGGCGAUGGCUCCCAAUGCAAAGUCUAUGGACAGCCGCGACCUGACGCGACUUGGCGACCGCUGGCUACCUGCGUCGCGUUGCCGAAGUUGCGUUGCCGAAGUUGCGUUUCCGCGUUCGCAGGACGCCAAGUCUCGUCGCUACCAAAGUUCAAAUAUUUGAACUGGGCUGCGGGAUGUAUAUAUGAGGGAGAAAAGGAGGGAGAUGGAAGGUAGGAGAAGCGGGUCAGCAGCGACCAGCCGUGUCCUGCGACCGCAGCUUUGGACCCGGUGUGAACACACCAGAGCACCACGCGACGCGACCUGGUCGCGGCUGCAAUUACACCUAAUCCGCGGAGCCAAAUCCUUGCAGGUACUGACAUUAGUCUUGCUGUGCUCAGACUACAAUGAUAGACGCAUUGUGGAUUGCGGAGAUGAGCCUGUGAUGCUUAAAUAUCGUGAUGCCCGGCUGUUUAAAUCUCCGACCUUGGCUGAAUUCAUAGCUUUCAGCGUAUUUGUAGAUGUCAUAUGUAAAGUGUUUUCAGCACGCAGAACUGAACUGGACACAUAUCUCGCCAUUAUUUCUGAUUCAGCCAUGACAUAGGGAGGAUCAUUAUUCUAGGAACAUUACAAAUCAUUUUCAGCAAAGCUGCUAAGUACAUUCAAAGAUUCAGCCAAAGACUUGAUCAGUCCGUAGUCGACCUGGCUCUAAUCAGUUAACAAUUCACCGAGCAUCAAGCUUUUUCCUGCUUAAUCUGCGGGUCUUUCUCUCACCUGGAGGUGAAAGUAAGCCAUUACGCAGCAGUACGCCAUUUCGGGAAGACAUAAUCAGCUGUUUAAAGUUUUCACCCCUGUCAUGUAUCUAGGCUUAGUCUGUUGCUGCACAUCAGUCUGCACUCUGCGUUAUAACCGAAGUAAUCCAAUAGGACCAUGCCGCUUGAGAGUGAGUGGUAUUUGCUUACAAAUAAACUCCAAGUGGGAGCACCAGUGCGCACUUUUGAUUGGACGCUGGUUGCCUAGGUGCAGGGGCCCGCCUUCCGCCUUUUGCAGAAGGAGGGAACUUUUAAAGAGUCAGCUGCUUCAAUCUUAAUGCAGAAAUAAGACAAAAUGCAGAGGAAAAUAAUAAUAAUAAUAAUAAUAAUAAUAAUAAUUUUAUGUUUAAGAGAGAGAUACAGCAGAUGAUGAUACUGUGGCAUCGGAGUCAGCAACUCGCUUAACUUGGGUGUGCUCCUCUUGUACAAAGUCUACGGGUACAGUACCUGGAGGAACCUUAUCCUACCUUGUCCACCCCUGCCCACACCUCUAAUCGGUGCCCUAAAACUGUGGCUACAUGCCAACCACCCAAGCCUCUCUAAGCCUACUACUCGGAGAAGCCAAGUUACUCCAGGGACGGGCAUCUGAAAUCAGCAUGCCCAUGACGCACCCACCUGGUAAAACGGGAAAGAACAAAGCUGUCUACUCUGUCAAAUGUCCUUGAGCCGGGGAAGGCACUGGCAAAGCAUCCCAACGGCUGUUCGUGAAGCCAUUCAUUCAGACUGUGUUAGUCUGAGUGCAGCCUUGCAAUCCUUAGUGCUCUCUGUUGACAGCUACUUGAGAGCUGGUUAAGCAAAAUCAGCAUUAAAGUUUAUACGAUUCUGCAUGGUCUCACUUUACCUCUUUUGUACCACCUUCUCUGUAGCCCCAACGCCCUAAAUAUAUCCAUUGUAUGUGCUUUAAUAGUCCACAGUUUUGAAUCUCGCACUUUUCUUUUUUUUUCUAAUAUUUCCAAAACUAACUCUGUCUUUGUUCUUUAUCCUCCAUGUCCCGCUGCCUGAGAGGCCGGCCACUGGCCAGCCAGCAAGAGUCUCUCUUUGCCACUGAAGAAGGGAAACCUAUAUCCAGAUUGCAGCUUUCUGCUCACCUCUGCCUGCUCUGCCAAUCCUGUUGGCUCCUACCUGAGUACAACUCUACGCAUUCACCACGCAUAGGCACAGCUACAACUGCAUCUUCCAUCGUCCCCGUCUCGACGCUCAAGGCUACGGGUCAAUGGUCCCGAUCAGCCUUUGAAUGAUACCUCAGGCCCAAGGCUAAUAUAUUAUUAUUAUUAGAAUAUUCCUAUGCUCGAUUAGCUACAAAAAAAAAAUUGCUGCUGCUCCUUAAUUCUUUCCCAUAUCUAUUGCAUUACGCAUAUUCCCAACUAUAAAUUUGUGUAUGGAUUAAAUUAAUCCUGAUCCAUGAUCAUGUUGUGAGGGUAACCAAUACUAUGCAAGCUUUGUAGGUGGGUAGGUUGCUUCAUAGUUUCUCGCUGCUGGCUGCCCUCCCUCCCCUGUAGGUGCCUUCAUGUAGCUCAUGAAAGCUGGGGAGGGUUGCCAGUAUGGCUGCUGCUUUUUCUGCCUUGGCUUUUCAUAUAUGCACAUGAAAGGGAGGGGAGGGCAUUCCCUCUCAUUGCCUUGGGAUUCUAUGCAAGCGCAUGAGAGAGCAGGGAACUCUCAGAACAGAGCCAUACCGACAAUGUUAAAAAAAUUUUUGCUAGUAAUAAAUAAUUGAUUCUAACUAAAGUAGUCCUGACUGAAAUUAAGCAUGGCUGUAGUUCAGGCAGGACACAAGGUACAGUCAAGCUAAAGGUUAAAGCCAGCUGAUCUUAAGCUAGCCCUCAGUCAGAUGACAGCUUAGCUGAUCGCCCUCCACACAUCCUUCAGAUCGCUACACGGCUCAUUCCUUUCACAUAGGUGUAGCUACAACCGGAGCUAUGACGGCUCCUGUGUCGACCCUCAAAGCCAUGGGCCAAUAGUCGUCAGCUGCGUACAAACGCUAUCUGCGCCCCGAGGCUCGGGACAUUCUCGAAGCCCAAAAACUAUGAGUACCCAUAACUUUGGCACAUAGAUGCUAAUUAAAUGAAAUAUAUAAACAACCUGCAGAUAAAUAUCCAUGCUUGGGCAACGGGUCUCUCUAACCCGUCUUUCUUUCAGCAGCGCUCACCUCCCCUGCUAGCUCCUAGACUGCACGGCAUGGUUGUUUUGGGGGGGUUCUGUUCAUUGCUGCUCUACCCCUGCCUCCUCCGCCUUCAUGAUGGCACGUGGAGGGCGGGAAGGUGCUCUUCCUGCCGCUGGCCUUUCACCCCUGCCAACGUGGAGAACGGGGGCCCUGAACAGAACCUCGCGUGCGCUCCCUGCUAUCGCCUUUCAUGAUGGCUCGUGAAAGGCAGGAAGGGGCUCUUCCUGCCUUGGGCUUCCACACAAGCGCGUGGAAGGGCAGGGACCCGGAACAGAAUCAUGCCGCCAAAUCUAACUUGCACAAUAAAGCUAAAAAUUUGGACAAAGUGUACCUGACUGAAAUGAAGCAUAGCGUUAGUUCUGUCAGGACACAACGUCAAGCGCUGAUCCACAGCCAAUGGCUAGUAGCCACCUCAACCAGAUGAUAAUCAGCUGAUUCACACCUAGAUCCUAUUGGUUCUUUGCCUAUAGAGUGCCUUAUUUAAAACUGCACUAACCCAGCCUCUUCCUCUGCUCUGACAGCAAACCAGCAACACACUGCCACACCAGCUCCACCCUCGUGCCAGCUAAUUGCUCCGCUGUCCUUAAAGCGCUCCUGUUCCAGGGGGGUUUUGUUCAUUGCUGCUCUACCCCCGCCACCUCCGCCUUCAUGAUGGCUCGAGGAGGGCGAGUUUAACAAUUUCCACAACCUCAAGUUCAAAAAGAACACAAACUCAAGUUCAAACGCGCCACGAACUCAAGUUCAACAAACAAACAAACUCAAACUCAAGUUCAAAAACACCAGAAACUCAAGUUCAACCAACACCCAAUUCUCAAGUUCAACAAUUUCCACCAACUCAAGUUCAAAAACACCACAAAGUCAAGUUCAAACAAGACACAAACUGAAGUUCAAUGAACACCACAUACAUAAGUUCAACAAAUGUCAAAGUUUUAAGUUCAACCAACACCCAAAUCUAAAGUUUAACAAUUGCCGAAGCCUCAAGUAAGAAAAACAACAAAAAUUCAGGUUAAAACACGCCACAAACUCAAGCUCAACACCGCCACAAACUCAAGUUAAAAAGCACCACAAACCAAAGUUCAAACAUGACACAAACUCAAGUUCAACCAAAUCCCAAAUCUCAAGUUUGACAAUUGCCACAACCUCAAGUUCAAAAACAACAGAAACUCAAGUCAAAACACGCCACAAACUCAAGUUAAACAAACACACAAACUCAAGUUCAAAAACACCACAAACUCAAGUUCAAAAACACCCAAAUCUCAAGUUUAACAAUUGCCACAAACUUAAAUUCAAAAAACACACAAAAAUUCAAACUAAAGUUCAGGGAAAAAUACAGACUCAAGUUCAACAAUUGCCACAAACUCAAGUUCAACAAACACCACAAUCUUAAGUUCAAAAAAUGCCAAAAUUUCAAAUUCAACAAAUGACCUAAACUCACAUUUAACAAUUGCCAAAAACUCAAGUUCUUCAAACUCAAGUUCAAAAAUUGCAACAACCUCAAGUUCAAAAAACACACACAUUUAAGUUCAAAAAAACCCCAAACUCAAGUUAAAAAAAACACAAAAAUUCAAGUUCAAAAACACCACAAACUCAAGUUAAAUGAACACCACAAAGUCAAGUUCAACAAAUGUCAAAGUUUUAAGUUCAACCAACACCCAAAUCUAAAGAUUAACAAUUGCCAAAACCUCAAGUUAAAAAACAACACAAACUCAAGUUCAACAAACGCCACAAACUCAAGUUCAACAAUUGCCACCAACUAAAGUUCACUAAAAACCAAAGACUCAAGUUCAACAAUUGCCAAAAAAUCAAGCGAAACAAACUCAAGUUCAUAAGUUGUCACAAACUUCAAACACGACACAAACUCAAGUUCAAA
RNAcentral lists this long non-coding RNA (24456 nucleotides) under Xyrichtys novacula (pearly razorfish). The record is from RNAcentral. Lineage: Eukaryota; Metazoa; Chordata; Actinopteri; Labriformes; Labridae.